Molecule: ribosomal RNA, 253 nt
Filed under: uncultured bacterium
Lineage: Bacteria
Description: partial 16S ribosomal RNA
Rfam family: Bacterial small subunit ribosomal RNA
Source: RNAcentral
UACGGAGGGAGCUAGCGUUGUUCGGAAUUACUGGGCGUAAAGCGCGCGUAGGCGGCUUUGUAAGUUAGAGGUGAAAGCCCGGAGCUCAACUCCGGAACUGCCUUUAAAACUGCAUCGCUUGAAUCCAGGAGAGGUAAGUGGAAUUCCGAGUGUAGAGGUGAAAUUCGUAGAUAUUCGGAAGAACACCAGUGGCGAAGGCGGCUCACUGGACUGGUAUUGACGCUGAGGUGCGAAAGCGUGGGGAGCAAACAGG